UACGUAGGGGGCAAGCGUUGUCCGGAUUUAUUGGGCGUAAAGAGCGUGUAGGCGGUCAGGUAGGUCUGCUGUGAAAACUCGAGGCUCAACCUCGAGACGCCGGUUGAAACCAUCUGGCUAGAGUCCGGAAGAGGAGAGUGGAAUUCCCGGUGUAGCGGUGAAAUGCGCAGAUAUCGGGAAGAACACCCGUGGCGAAGGCGGCUCUCUGGGACGGUACUGACGCUGAGACGCGAAAGCGUGGGGAGCGAGCAGG
RNAcentral lists this ribosomal RNA (253 nucleotides) under uncultured bacterium. Its description in RNAcentral is "partial 16S ribosomal RNA". It matches the Rfam family "Bacterial small subunit ribosomal RNA", at positions 524 to 776 of the family's 1533-position model. The record is from RNAcentral.